RNAcentral lists this ribosomal RNA (254 nucleotides) under uncultured bacterium. RNAcentral's name for it is "partial 16S ribosomal RNA". It matches the Rfam family "Bacterial small subunit ribosomal RNA", at positions 524 to 776 of the family's 1533-position model. The record is from RNAcentral.
UACAGAGGUGGCAAGCGUUGUUCGGAAUUACUGGGCGUAAAGGGCGCGUAGGCGGUCUUUUAAGUCUUGUGUGAAAUCCCUCGGCUCAACUGAGGAACUGCACGGGAUACUGGAAGACUUGAGUUCGGGAGAGGGAAGCGGAAUUCCGGGUGUAGCGGUGAAAUGCGUAGAUAUCCGGAGGAACACCGGUGGCGAAUGCGGCUUCCUGGACCGAUUACUGACGCUGAGGCGCGAAAGCUAGGGGAGCAAACGGG